RNAcentral lists this ribosomal RNA (390 nucleotides) under uncultured Alphaproteobacteria bacterium. RNAcentral describes it as "bacterial SSU rRNA". It matches the Rfam family "Bacterial small subunit ribosomal RNA", at positions 386 to 792 of the family's 1533-position model. The record is from RNAcentral. Lineage: Bacteria; Pseudomonadati; Pseudomonadota; Alphaproteobacteria.
AAACAGCGAUGCCGCGUGAGUGAAGAAGGCCUUUGGGUUGUAAAGCUCUUUCGUCGGGGAAGAAAAUGACUGUACCCGAAUAAUAAGGUCCGGCUAACUUCGUGCCAGCAGCCGCGGUAAUACGAAGGGACCUAGCGUAGUUCGGAAUUACUGGGCUUAAAGAGUUCGUAGGUGGUUGAAAAAGUUAGUGGUGAAAUCCCAGAGCUUAACUCUGGAACUGCCAUUAAAACUUUUCAGCUAGAGUAUGAUAGAGGAAAGCAGAAUUUCUAGUGUGGAGGUGAAAUUCGUAGAUAUUAGAAAGAAUACCAAUUGCGAAGGCAGCUGUUCUGAAUCAUCACGUACACCGAGGAAGGAAAGCCUGGGUAGCGAAAAGGAUUAGAUUCCCUGGUA